This 81-nucleotide transfer RNA is filed under the name Juncus effusus. Its description in RNAcentral is "tRNA-Leu". It matches the Rfam family "tRNA". Rfam says of the family: Transfer RNA (tRNA) molecules are approximately 80 nucleotides in length. The record is from RNAcentral. RNAcentral also lists the same sequence under 1 other name. Lineage: Eukaryota; Viridiplantae; Streptophyta; Magnoliopsida; Poales; Juncaceae.
GCCUUGAUGGUGAAAUGGUAGACACGCGAGACUCAAAAUCUCGUGCGAAAGAGCAUGGAGGUUCGAGUCCUCUUCAGGGCA